GCUUAACACAUGCAAGUCGAGGGGCAUCAGGACAUAAGCGUGCUUUCUUUGCUGGCGACCGGCGCACGGGUGAGUAACACGUAUCCAACCUGCCCUUUACUCGGGGAUAGUCUUUCGAAAGAAAGAUUAAUACCCGAUAGUAUAAUGAUUCCGCAUGGUUUCAUUAUUAAAGGAUUCCGGUAAAGGAUGGGGAUGCGUUCCAUUAGGUUGUUGGUGAGGUAACGGCUCACCAAGCCUUCGAUGGAUAGGGGUUCUGAGAGGAAGGUCCCCCACAUUGGAACUGAGACACGGUCCAAACUCCUACGGGAGGCAGCAGUGAGGAAUAUUGGUCAAUGGGCGCUAGCCUGAACCAGCCAAGUAGCGUGAAGGAUGAAGGCUCUAUGGGUCGUAAACUUCUUUUAUAUAAGAAUAAAGUGCAGUAUGUAUACUGUUUUGUAUGUAUUAUAUGAAUAAGGAUCGGCUAACUCCGUGCCAGCAGCCGCGGUAAUACGGAGGAUCCGAGCGUUAUCCGGAUUUAUUGGGUUUAAAGGGAGCGUAGGUGGACUGGUAAGUCAGUUGUGAAAGUUUGCGGCUCAACCGUAAAAUUGCAGUUGAUACUGUCAGUCUUGAGUACAGUAGAGGUGGGCGGAAUUCGUGGUGUAGCGGUGAAAUGCUUAGAUAUCACGAAGAACUCCGAUUGCGAAGGCAGCUCACUGGACUGCAACUGACACUGAUGCUCGAAAGUGUGGGUAUCAAACAGGAUUAGAUACCCUGGUAGUCCACACAGUAAACGAUGAAUACUCGCUGUUUGCGAUAUACAGUAAGCGGCCAAGCGAAAGCAUUAAGUAUUCCACCUGGGGAGUACGCCGGCAACGGUGAAACUCAAAGGAAUUGACGGGGGCCCGCACAAGCGGAGGAACAUGUGGUUUAAUUCGAUGAUACGCGAGGAACCCUACCCGGGCUUAAAUUGCAGUGGGAUGAUGUGGAAACAUGUCAGUGAGCAAUCACCGCUGUGAAGGUGCUGCAUGGUUGUCGUCAGCUCGUGCCGUGAGGUGUCGGCUUAAGUGCCAUAACGAGCGCAACCCUUAUCUUCAGUUACUAACAGGUCAUGCUGAGGACUCUGGAGAGACUGCCGUCGUAAGAUGUGAGGAAGGUGGGGAUGACGUCAAAUCAGCACGGCCCUUACGUCCGGGGCUACACACGUGUUACAAUGGGGGGUACAGAAGGCAGCUAGCGGGUGACCGUAUGCUAAUCCCAAAAGCCUCUCUCAGUUCGGAUCGAAGUCUGCAACCCGACUUCGUGAAGCUGGAUUCGCUAGUAAUCGCGCAUCAGCCACGGCGCGGUGAAUACGUUCCCGGGCCUUGUACACACCGCCCGUCAAGCCAUGGGAGCCGGGGGUACCUGAAGUACGUAACCGCAAGGAUCGUCCUAGGGUAAAACUGGUGACUGG
This 1429-nucleotide ribosomal RNA is filed under the name uncultured organism. Its description in RNAcentral is "16S ribosomal RNA". It matches the Rfam family "Bacterial small subunit ribosomal RNA". The record is from RNAcentral.